AGAGCGAACGCUGGCGGCAGGCUUAACACAUGCAAGUCGAGCGGGCGUAGCAAUACGUCAGCGGCAGACGGGUGAGUAACGCGUGGGAACGUACCUUUUGGUUCGGAACAACCCAGGGAAACUUGGGCUAAUACCGGAUAAGCCCUUACGGGGAAAGAUUUAUCGCCGAAAGAUCGGCCCGCGUCUGAUUAGCUAGUUGGUGAGGUAAUGGCUCACCAAGGCGACGAUCAGUAGCUGGUCUGAGAGGAUGAUCAGCCUCACUGGGACUGAGACACGGCCCAGACUCCUACGGGAGGCAGCAGUGGGGAAUAUUGGACAAUGGGCGCAAGCCUGAUCCAGCCAUGCCGCGUGGGUGAUGAAGGCCCUAGGGUUGUAAAGCCCUUUCGGCGGGGAAGAUAAUGACGGUACCCGCAGAAGAAGCCCGGCUAACUUCGCGCCAGCAGCCGC
RNAcentral lists this ribosomal RNA (447 nucleotides) under uncultured bacterium. RNAcentral's name for it is "SSU rRNA". It matches the Rfam family "Bacterial small subunit ribosomal RNA", at positions 26 to 518 of the family's 1533-position model. The record is from RNAcentral.